Molecule: non-coding RNA, 19 nt
Filed under: Rattus norvegicus (Norway rat)
Lineage: Eukaryota; Metazoa; Chordata; Mammalia; Rodentia; Muridae
Source: RNAcentral
GUGAGCACUGCCUGUAGGA